AUCAUAAACACAGUGAAUGAAACCAGCACACAGAACAUCACCUGCUCACUGACUCCUCCCCCUUUCCCUCAGGGUUCAGGUGUUCUCUCAGGUGAACAAGAUGUCGGCCCAUAACCUGGCUGUGGUCCUGGUCCCGUCCCUGUUCCAGGCCAUGAACCAGGAUUUGAUCACCCUCACUAGAGAGUUCAUCAUCCACCACACCCUGCUCUUCCUCACCCCAGACUCGGCUCAGAGGCAGGAGCAGGAGCAGAUCUCGGUCUUCUGAUGAAGAUCAGCUGGAGCGUGUUUCUUUUAGCUUACUGUGAAUCUUUUGGGAUGUUGAGGAAACUGUUGUUAUUGAAAUCACUGACCAAUCACUAUCUACUUCCUGUUUCCUGUCAGUUGAACUACAGCUAUCAGAGAGAAUGAUUACUGCUGGCUCCCCCUGCUGGCUGCUCUCAGCCUUUGCGGUGGUUGUUAAAUGAAUGUUAAUGUGAGGCUCUGCAGCUGAGCGGGGUGUACCACUGUGUAAGCUGAGUACUCACUUUAUGAUAGUAUUUUUCUGUGGUUUCAAAUGUUAUCUUUAAAUCUGCAAAUAAUUCAUGAACUGAACAAAAAUCUGAACAUUUAAUAAAAUCUGCCUUUAAUUCUU
Oreochromis aureus is the source of this 631-nucleotide long non-coding RNA. RefSeq lists it as uncharacterized. The transcript has 2 exons. The record is from RefSeq and is a predicted model, not a curated record. Lineage: Eukaryota; Metazoa; Chordata; Actinopteri; Cichliformes; Cichlidae.